Molecule: long non-coding RNA, 1624 nt
Organism: Numida meleagris (helmeted guineafowl)
Lineage: Eukaryota; Metazoa; Chordata; Aves; Galliformes; Numididae
Source: Ensembl
UGUGUAUGUAUUUUUAAACUACCAAAGCAUUACCUACUGCUUAUCUGAUGUUAUUUCAAUAGGGAAAAUGAUAGGAUCUUUACAAAGAGAAAUCAAAGUCAGGUGCCUGCGAGGAAACUCUCUCUACAGUCACCUACUCAUCACCAGUCUCGACAGAAAGCCUGGGAACUUGGUCAGCGGAGAUGUUCAGAUAACAGCAAAAAAUAAUUUGCAGAAACAGAGCUCUAUUCUGUCCUUGCUUCUAGCAGCAAAUUAGAGUAUUCUUCCACAUGGACCUCACCCAACUGGAGCAAGCUGCCUCUGAAGUUAAUGAAGCUAGGCCAGAGUGGGCCAUUGGAGUCCAGAUGGAGUUAUCUGUGGGAGGCCUUUCUGCAGCACUACAGGAGCUCUACUCCAUUACCAAGAGUUCUCCACUCCCUUUCUGAAAUGCUGAUGUUUCCAGAGCAGUGCCACCUCCAUACAGACGCUACAAAAGGAGCAGGAGGAGGAGGAGCCAGCAUAGGAACUCCAUUCUUUUGGUUUGGGAAGAUGCCCUACAUAGACACUGCAGAGGAGCAGAGGAGGGAAGCACCACGUUGUCGGGCUUGGAGAAAAGAGGACGUAGGGGAAGAAGUCCUUCAGGGCUUGCUCCUAGCAUGAUCUCUGAUGGUGGAAUCUGCUGUGAUGUCCUGAACUCUGCUGUCUUCACUUCAUACACUUCAUUACAUCCCUGGGCUCCAGCUGUCUCCCGUGGUGCAGGCACUUCUUCACCAGUGGCUCUAAGAGCCUGAUCCUUGGUCAUAGCAUCACAGAGUCACGAAGGUUGGAAAAGACCUCUAAGAUCCCCAAGCCCAACCCCAACCCAUUCCCACCGUGCCCACUGACCACAUCCCCACGGUUCUGGAACACCUCUGGGGACGGUGACUCCACCACUCCCUGGGCAGCCUGUGCCAGUGCCCAACCACUCUUUUGGAGAAGUUUUUCCUAAUAUCCAACCUGACCCUCCCCUGGUGCAACGUAAAGCCAUCACCUCUCAUCCCAUCGCUGUCACCUGGGAGACCCCCACCUCGCCACAGCUUCCUUUCAGGGAGUUGUAGAGAGCUCGAUGGCUCUGUAAAGAGCUCUAUACUACUUUGAAAGACGGAUCAGCAUCAUAAGGUACAUAAGGAUAAUAUUUGCUUUGCAAAUGCAAACUAAAAGGCUGGCUCUUGCCAUAAAGCCUGAAGCCCACCUCCUAGCAGACCCCUUCUUGCUGUGUCUUGUACCUUCCAAUGAACCGAGGUCCUGUCAGACCACCAGCCUGAGAAAACACUGGGAUCCGUGGUUGCCUGCAGUGCCUUGCCUUCCCCAUUCCUUUUUUAUUCUGAGCACAGCAUCGUUAUUAGCAAUGAAGUUUUUAUAUGUUACAGUCAGCCCAGCCGGGUCAUGAUGUGCCAUAAAUCUUUGACAAGUCAAGCGCUGCCCCUUUCUGGGUACAGUAUAUGCUUGGCCCCAUUAAGAAUAAUAGCAUGAAUAACCAUAAGCCAUUAAUUUUGACGAGAUCAGACCCAUAUCACCUUAAAAAGAGUGCACUGAUACCAUGGGAGACAUUUGGCGGUUUCUGCUGCUCACUCCCUUAAUGAAUAAAAAUACGGCAGUGGCUGCA